RNAcentral lists this long non-coding RNA (2472 nucleotides) under Homo sapiens (human). RNAcentral's name for it is "non-protein coding lnc-FZD10-8:1". Lineage: Eukaryota; Metazoa; Chordata; Mammalia; Primates; Hominidae. The record is from RNAcentral.
ACGUGGGACCUCACUUUGUGAUUGUGGGAGUCAAUACUCCUUAAUAAAAUCCGCUUUAUAUAUACAUCUAUCCUAUUGGUUCUGUCCCUCUAGAGAACCCUGAUUAAUACACCAGGGGUGUGCUCUCUGAGGGCAGAUGCUAUUUCAAUUGGUUUAGAGCUUUACCAUUCAGUCCACGGUAGAAGGUUUAUAUAAUGCUUUGUACGGUCUGAAUCACACUGCCGAUGCUGGCAACAGCCUCCCUCCAGACUUCUUGUUAAGUUAGAAAAAUGCACUGCUGUUUACUCAAGCCACAAAUAAAUUGGGCUUUCUGCUAUUUUUAGCCAAAAGCAUUCUUACAUACAUCAGGUGAUACAGAUAUAUCGUGGAUUUUUUCCACCGCUAAAGAUGCUCAGAGCAGGAUUAACUAGACCAAGGCAGCAUAGGAGCACCCUAAAUGUCUAUGAAUGGUUAAACAAUAAGAGCACGUCACUGGAUGGAAUACUUCAUAUUCACCAGGACAUUCUUGGUUGGAAGUAACAUAAAUCAACUUGGGCUGGCAUACAGAACACGGGGCCUCACCAAGUGGUAUUUAUUUGAAUCCCAGCUCUGCCACUUACUUGCCAUCGUGUAUUUAUUCAAGGUAUUCCUUCUCUUUCCUAUCCAUGCCACUCCUGAUUUUCUGCAAGUAAGGCUUUGGAUGUCAAUGAGGACACCGUGAAAUAUCAAACAUUUGGGCGGAAUGCCACCCCAGCUGCAGAUGACAAGCAGCGACCUUGCCCAGUCUCCUACCAGAGUGAGUUUCCUGCUGUACCAGAACCAGGCAUGGGAGAGCCACCAGCACUGUGCAGAGGCCCCUCUCAAGCUGCCAGAGAAAAGUACAAAUCGCCCCUGUUCACUGGUUGAGUGUCGCUGCAGUUUUCGAGGCUGUCACGUUUCUGCAUCCGUUAGCAUGUCUGUGACAGAAACUGAGGCCAACUAACAAAGGGAUGGAAGCAACAAAGGGAUGGAAGCAUCCCUGCAGAAGGGAUGCGAGAAGAUAAAUAAAAACAGAAAAAUGCAGGAGAAAAUCAAAGAGAAAAGGAUAAAACUGCCAUAAAUGGCAUCCAGUUGCGAUCUGUUAAAAGGGUUCUGACUUUAUUCCUGCCUCCCAGGCCCCUCCUCCUACACUCUGUCCCCACAGAUCAGCACCUACAGGCAUUAAAUUUGUUGCACAAAAAUAUGCACCUGCCAUAAUUCCAGAGUCCCAAAUAUGGUGAAAAUAUAAUUAUCUAUUCAUUGAUCUAUUUAACUGUAAAGGACUCUAUCAAUCGUCUAUCAAUAAGGAAUUUUAUAUACCAAUCUAUCUAUCCAUUUGAUAAUCAGUACCCCAGGCUAUCCUGCUUCAAUAGUAAGAAAAAAACAUUCUCCUCUGUCUCGGUGAAAAAACAAGAUUCAGCAACUCAUGAGCCUUCAAAUUGAGCUGUAAUGAAUAUUGUGUCGUGCUGGUGAUUUCAACCGAAUAAUUCCAGGAAGGCUGGAAAAGGGGUCGGUCUAUCUUCAUCCCUUUUGUCGCCUAAAAGCAAAAUCAUGAGAAAGAAGUCCAGAAUAAAGAUGGUAAUCCUGGGCUGUAAAUGCUGGAACCUCAUCCAUGAUGCCAAUUGCUCCAUAACCACACGGACGUGAACCCCAAAAAGCAUGAGAUACAAGGUGAGAGUAAACACUGCCCCUGUAUGUACAGGUAAUCCCUCUGCUAGCUGUGGGUUCUAAGGCCGACUGCUGAAAAGAUUUUUAACAAUCUAAGAAAAGAAGGAAUCAGAAAAAAAAAACACAAAUAUUUUUUAUUUCUCCCAUUCUUUAAAAAAAAUUACCAGAAAUUGCCCCCUUUAAAUUUCAAAAUUUUCCUAAUUUUACUGUGCCAGCCCGACUCUCAUACCUCACUGAUUAUAUCAUUCCCACACCUGAUGCUCCAACAACCCAGGGUAUACUUUUAGCUCAGUCCUAUAAAAGGCUUCAUAACCUGCACUGAUCUGGAUUCAACGCAGCUGCCGAUGGACAAGAAAAACACAUCUGGAGACUCUGCAGCCGUUCUUUCCAGCUGUUUGUGACUCCCGAAAGACACGUGAGCACUUGGCACCAUCAGGCACACAUCAGUUCGGCUCUCUUCCACCCCCAGGCACAGUCAUCCUGAGCAUUGAAGACACUUUAGAAAAUGGUUGGCAAGUUGCUCUUGCACUGGGAUAAUUUUAGACAAUCUGAUACUUUGACGCUAAAAACAUGUUUGGAAUUGGUGACUGUAAACAAUAAUCGUAGCUUGAACUCUGACCCCGGCAUGGUUGUAUUUUGACUUACCUGGGUAGGAUGCACUAUGGAGGGAGCUGCUAUAAUCCUAAUACUGUGGUGCUUAAACUUUUCGACAUUAUUUUGCUUUCUGUCUUGGGAGGGAGGUAUUCUUCUAUGUCUCUAUUAGCCACUUCUGGACUUUUCCAUCAUCAUUAUAUAGCUGCUUACCUC